RNAcentral lists this ribosomal RNA (433 nucleotides) under uncultured bacterium. RNAcentral's name for it is "partial 16S ribosomal RNA". It matches the Rfam family "Bacterial small subunit ribosomal RNA", at positions 29 to 507 of the family's 1533-position model. The record is from RNAcentral.
AACGAACGCUGGCGGCAUGCCUAACACAUGCAAGUCGAACGAGACCUUCGGGUCUAGUGGCGCACGGGUGCGUAACGCGUGGGAACCUGCUCUUAGGUUCGGAAUAACUCCCCGAAAGGGGUGCUAAUACCGGAUAAUGUCUUCGGACCAAAGAUUUAUCGCCUUUGGAUGGGCCCGCGUUGGAUUAGCUAGUUGGUAGGGUAAAAGCCUACCAAGGCGACGAUCCAUAGCUGGUCUGAGAGGAUGAUCAGCCACACUGGGACUGGGACACGGCCCAGACUCCUACGGGAAGCAGCAGUGGGGAAUAUUGGACAAUGGGCGAAAGCCUGAUCCAGCAAUGCCGCGUGAGUGAUGAAGGCCUUAGGGUUGUAAAGCUCUUUUACCCGGGAUGAUAAUGACAGUACCGGGAGAAUAAGCUCCGGCUAACUCCGUG